AGGCUGGCGGCGUGCUAAUACAUGCAAGUGGAACGCAUGAUGGAUACCGGAGCUUGCUCCACCAUUCAUCAUGAGUCGCGAACGGGUGAGUAACGCGUAGGUAACCUACCUUCUAGCGGGGGAUAACUAUUGGAAACGAUAGCUAAUACCGCAUGACAAUGAAGUACACAUGUACUUGAUUUAAAAGGAGCAAUAGCUUCACUAGGAGAUGGACCUGCGUUGUAUUAGCUAGUUGGUAGGGUAACGGCCUACCAAGGCCUCGAUACAUAGCCGACCUGAGAGGGUGAUCGGCCACACUGGGACUGAGACACGGCCCAGACUCCUACGGGAGGCAGCAGUAGGGAAUCUUCGGCAAUGGGGGGAACCCUGACCGAGCAACGCCGCGUGAGUGAAGAAGGUUUUCGGAUCGUAAAGCUCUGUUGUAAGAGAAGAACGUGUGUGAGAGUGGAAAGUUCACACAGUGACGGUAACUUACCAGAAAGGGACGGCUAACUACGUGCCAGCAGCCGCGGUAAUACGUAGGUCCCGAGCGUUGUCCGGAUUUAUUGGGCGUAAAGCGAGCGCAGGUGGUUGUAUAAGUCUGAAGUAAAAGGCAGUGGCUCAACCAUUGUGUGCUUUGGAAACUGUACAACUUGAGUGCAGAAGGGGAGAGUGGAAUUCCAUGUGUAGCGGUGAAAUGCGUAGAUAUAUGGAGGAACACCGGUGGCGAAAGCGGCUCUCUGGUCUGUAACUGACACUGAGGCUCGAAAGCGUGGGGAGCAAACAGGAUUAGAUACCCCUGGUAGUCCACGCCGUAAACGAUGAGUGCUAGGUGUUGGGUCCUUUCCGGGACUCAGUGCCGCAGCUAACGCAUUAAGCACUCCGCCUGGGGGAGUACGGCCGCAAGGCUGAAACUC
This 896-nucleotide ribosomal RNA is filed under the name uncultured Streptococcus sp. RNAcentral's name for it is "bacterial SSU rRNA". It matches the Rfam family "Bacterial small subunit ribosomal RNA", at positions 33 to 902 of the family's 1533-position model. Lineage: Bacteria; Bacillati; Bacillota; Bacilli; Lactobacillales; Streptococcaceae. The record is from RNAcentral.